This 725-nucleotide unclassified non-coding RNA is filed under the name Hevea brasiliensis (rubber tree). The record is from RNAcentral. Lineage: Eukaryota; Viridiplantae; Streptophyta; Magnoliopsida; Malpighiales; Euphorbiaceae.
GGUAUUUUUGAGUGCUGGCUUCACCCUGCUCAAUAUCGAACACGUCUUUGCAAAGAUGAGACAAAUUGCACAAGAAGGGUUUGUUUCUUUGCUCACAAGCCUGAAGAGCUUCGCCCCUUGUAUGCCUCAACGGGUUCGGCUGUGCCUUCACCAAGAUCCUUCUCAGCCAAUGGUUCAGCACUGGACAUGGGUUCUGUCAGUCCACUUGCCCUUGGUUCUCCACCUGUCUUGAUACCACCUACUUCCAUGACUCCCUCUGGGUCCUCAUCUCCUAUGGUUGGAUGGCCCAACCAGACUAGUGUUGUACCCCCUAUCUUGCAGCUUCCUAGUAGCAGGUUGAAAUCUGCUCUGAGUGCUAGAGAUAUGGAUGUAGACAUGGAGUUGCUUGGGCUUGACAGUCACCAUCGCCGGCAACAACAAUUGGUCAAUGAGAUUGGUUUCUCGUCACCUUCCGGUUGGAAUAAUGAUUUGUCCACUGCUUCAGCUUUUGCUGUCUCAGGUGAUCGAACUUUGGAGUUGAAUAGGCUUGGAGGAGUGAAGCCAACUAACCUUGAAGAUAUUUUUGGAUCUCAUGAUCCUACAAUUUUGCCUCAAUUGCAGGGACUCACAGUGGAUUCCACUGUAUCCCAGUUACAGUCUCAAACAGGGAUUCAGAUGUGCCAGAACAUAAACCAGAAGCUCCGCUCAAGCUACCCUACCAACUUCUCAUCUUCUCCUGUGAGGAC